UACGUAGGGUGCGAGCGUUGUCCGGAAUUAUUGGGCGUAAAGAGCUUGUAGGCGGUUUGUCGCGUCUGCUGUGAAAAUCCGGGGCUCAACCCCGGACUUGCAGUGGGUACGGGCAGACUAGAGUGUGGUAGGGGAGACUGGAAUUCCUGGUGUAGCGGUGGAAUGCGUAGAUAUCAAGAGGAACACCAGUGGCGAAGGCGAGUCCCUGGACAAUACCUGACACUGAGGCACGAAAGCCAAGGGAGCAAACAGG
This 253-nucleotide ribosomal RNA is filed under the name uncultured bacterium. RNAcentral's name for it is "partial 16S ribosomal RNA". It matches the Rfam family "Bacterial small subunit ribosomal RNA", at positions 524 to 776 of the family's 1533-position model. The record is from RNAcentral.